AAGUCGUAACAAGGUUUCCGUAGGUGAACCUGCGGAAGGAUAUCCUUACAGAGCUAGUGACACUUUCAGACACUAACAAGCAGAGGGAUGCCAGACCACUUGCCUCGCGUCUUCUUACCCAGACCAACGAAGUCCCUGAAUCAAAACUGUUCGGCGAUGAUUUACCAGGGAUUGCGUAUUUCCAACAGAGGGCACGACUACAAUAAAGGUUCACGGGGGGUUUAACGUUGGAUACGUGUUAAUGGGCGCAGUAACGAUCGCUAGAGGCCGACACGGCCGGCGACUGGACCGCUGGGUUUUAACCCCCCUGAUCACCUUUGCAUGAAAACGGGCCUGCGCUUAAUUGUGCGGCCACCAAACUUCGAACAACUGUUAACAAUGGAUAUCUUGGUUCUC
This 396-nucleotide unclassified non-coding RNA is filed under the name fungal sp. RNAcentral's name for it is "partial internal transcribed spacer region". The stretch from base 1 to 46 matches the Rfam family "Eukaryotic small subunit ribosomal RNA". Lineage: Eukaryota; Fungi. The record is from RNAcentral.